This 407-nucleotide ribosomal RNA is filed under the name uncultured bacterium. Its description in RNAcentral is "partial 16S ribosomal RNA". It matches the Rfam family "Bacterial small subunit ribosomal RNA", at positions 28 to 526 of the family's 1533-position model. The record is from RNAcentral.
GACGAACGCUGGCGGCGUGCCUAAUACAUGCUAGUAGUACGCAGUUGCGAACGGGUGAGUAACGCGUAGGUAACUGCCUCAUAGCGGGGGAUAACUAUUGGAAACGAUAGCUAAUACCGCAUCCUGUGAGAUGGACCUGCUUUGUAUUAGCUAGUUGGUGAGGUAAAGGCUCACCAAGGCGACGAUACAUAGCCGACCUGAGAGGGUGAUCGGCCACGCUGGGCGUGGGACACGGGCAAGAGUCGUACGGGAGGCAGAAGUAGGGAGUCUGCGGCAAGGAACGGAAGUCUGACCGGGCAACGCCGCGUGAGUGAAGAAGGUUUUUGAAUCGUAAAGCUCGGUUGUUAUAGAAGCGGAAACUAACCAGAAAGGGACGGCUAACUACGUGGCAGCCGCCGCGGUAAUUC